GAGUUUGAUCCUGGCUCAGAUUGAACGCUGGCGGCAUGCCUUACACAUGCAAGUCGAACGGCAGCAUGAUCUAGCUUGCUAGAUUGAUGGCGAGUGGCGAACGGGUGAGUAAUACAUCGGAACGUGCCCUGUAGUGGGGGAUAACUAGUCGAAAGAUUAGCUAAUACCGCAUACGACCUGAGGGUGAAAGUGGGGGACCGCAAGGCCUCAUGCUAUAGGAGCGGCCGAUGUCUGAUUAGCUAGUUGGUGGGGUAAAGGCCCACCAAGGCGACGAUCAGUAGCUGGUCUGAGAGGACGAUCAGCCACACUGGGACUGAGACACGGCCCAGACUCCUACGGGAGGCGGCAGUGGGGAAUUUUGGACAAUGGGCGAAAGCCUGAUCCAGCAAUGCCGCGUGUGUGAAGAAGGCCUCGGUUGUAAGU
RNAcentral lists this ribosomal RNA (423 nucleotides) under uncultured microorganism. RNAcentral describes it as "bacterial SSU rRNA". It matches the Rfam family "Bacterial small subunit ribosomal RNA", at positions 9 to 430 of the family's 1533-position model. The record is from RNAcentral.